RNAcentral lists this ribosomal RNA (253 nucleotides) under uncultured bacterium. RNAcentral describes it as "partial 16S ribosomal RNA". It matches the Rfam family "Bacterial small subunit ribosomal RNA", at positions 524 to 776 of the family's 1533-position model. The record is from RNAcentral.
UACGUAGGGGGCUAGCGUUGUUCGGAAUUACUGGGCGUAAAGCGCACGUAGGCGGCUUUGUAAGUUAGAGGUGAAAGCCCGGAGCUUAACUCCGGAACUGCCUUUAAGACUGCAUCGCUAGAAUCGUGGAGAGGUGAGUGGAAUUCCGAGUGUAGAGGUGAAAUUCGUAGAUAUUCGGAAGAACACCAGUGGCGAAGGCGACUCACUGGACACGUAUUGACGCUGAGGUGCGAAAGCGUGGGGAGCAAACAGG